AUUGAACGCUGGCGGCGUGCCUUACACAUGCAAGUCGAACGGCAGCACGGGAGCAAUCCUGGUGGCGAGUGGCGAACGGGUGAGUAAUACAUCGGAACGUGCCCAAUCGUGGGGGAUAACGCAGCGAAAGCUGUGCUAAUACCGCAUACGAUCUACGGAUGAAAGCAGGGGAUCGCAAGACCUUGCGCGAAUGGAGCGGCCGAUGGCAGAUUAGGUAGUUGGUGAGGUAAAGGCUCACCAAGCCGUCGAUCUGUAGCUGGUCUGAGAGGACGACCAGCCACACUGGGACUGAGACACGGCCCAGACUCCUACGGGAGGCAGCAGUGGGGAAUUUUGGACAAUGGGCGAAAGCCUGAUCCAGCCAUGCCGCGUGCAGGAUGAAGGCCUUCGGGUUGUAAACUGCUUUUGUACGGAACGAAACGGCCUUUUCUAAUAAAGAGGGCUAAUGACGGUACCGUAAGAAUAAGCACCGGCUAACUACGUGCCAGCAGCCGCGGUAAUACGUAGGGUGCAAGCGUUAAUCGGAAUUACUGGGCGUAAAGCGUGCGCAGGAGGUUAUGUAAGACAGUUGUGAAAUCCCCGGGCUCAACCUGGGAACUGCAUCUGUGACUGCAUAGCUAGAGUACGGUAGAGGGGGAUGGAAUUCCGCGUGAACAUUGAAAUGCGUAGAUAUGCGGAGGAACCCCCAUGGCGAAGCAUCCCCUGGACCUCUGCUGACGCUCUUGUCCAAAACGUGGGGGGCAACACGAUUAUUAACUUGUGUCCAAGGGGGAUUU
RNAcentral lists this ribosomal RNA (776 nucleotides) under uncultured Comamonadaceae bacterium. RNAcentral describes it as "bacterial SSU rRNA". It matches the Rfam family "Bacterial small subunit ribosomal RNA", at positions 28 to 807 of the family's 1533-position model. The record is from RNAcentral. Lineage: Bacteria; Pseudomonadati; Pseudomonadota; Betaproteobacteria; Burkholderiales; Comamonadaceae.